GACGAACGCUGGCGGCACGCUUAACACAUGCAAGUCGAACGGUGAAGAGAAGCUUGCUUCUCGGAUCAGUGGCGGACGGGUGAGUAACACGUGAGCAACCUGCCUUUAAGAGGGGGAUAACGUUUGGAAACGAACGCUAAUACCGCAUAACAUAGAAGAUCCGCAUGUUUCUUCUAUCAAAGAUUUAUCGCUUAAAGAUGGGCUCGCGUCUGAUUAGCUAGUUGGUGAGGUAACGGCUCACCAAGGCGACGAUCAGUAGCCGUACUGAGAGGUAGAACGGCCACAUUGGGACUGAGACACGGCCCAGACUCCUACGGGAGGCAGCAGUGGGGAAUAUUGCACAAUGGAGGAAACUCUGAUGCAGCGAUGCCGCGUGAGGGAAGAAGGUUUUCGGAUUGUAAACCUCUGUCUUCAGGGACGAUAAUGACGGUACCUGAGGAGGAAGCUCCGGCUAACUACGUGCCAGCAGCCGCGGUAAUACGUAGGGAGCGAGCGUUGUCCGGAAUUACUGGGUGUAAAGGGAGCAUAGGCGGGAUCUUAAGUCAGGUGUGAAAACUAUGGGCUCAACCCAUAGACUGCACUUGAAACUGAGGUUCUUGAGUGAAGUAGAGGCAGGCGGAAUUCCUAGUGUAGCGGUGAAAUGCGUAGAUAUUAGGAGGAACAUCAGUGGCGAAGGCGGCCUGCUGGGCUUUUACUGACGCUGAGGCUCGAAAGCGUGGGGAGCAAACAGGAUUAGAUACCCUGGUAGUCCACGCUGUAAACGAUGAUUACUAGGUGUGGGGGGACUGACCCCUUCCGUGCCGCAGUUAACACAAUAAGUAAUCCACCUGGGGAGUACGCCGGCAACGGUGAAACUCAAAGGAAUUGACGGGGGCCCGCACAAGCGGAGGAACAUGUGGUUUAAUUCGAUGAUACGCGAGGAACCUUACCCGGGCUUAAAUUGCAAAUGAAUUAUGGGGAAACCCAUACGCCGCAAGGCAUUUGUGAAGGUGCUGCAUGGUUGUCGUCAGCUCGUGCCGUGAGGUGUCGGCUUAAGUGCCAUAACGAGCGCAACCCUUAUCUUCAGUUACUAACAGGUCAUGCUGAGGACUCUGGAGAGACUGCCGUCGUAAGAUGUGAGGAAGGUGGGGAUGACGUCAAAUCAGCACGGCCCUUACGUCCGGGGCUACACACGUGUUACAAUGGGGGGUACAGAAGGCCGCUACCUGGUGACAGGAUGCCAAUCCCAAAAACCUCUCUCAGUUCGGAUCGAAGUCUGCAACCCGACUUCGUGAAGCUGGAUUCGCUAGUAAUCGCGCAUCAGCCAUGGCGCGGUGAAUACGUUCCCGGGCCU
RNAcentral lists this ribosomal RNA (1333 nucleotides) under uncultured bacterium. Its description in RNAcentral is "partial 16S small subunit ribosomal RNA". It matches the Rfam family "Bacterial small subunit ribosomal RNA", at positions 28 to 1381 of the family's 1533-position model. The record is from RNAcentral.